This 60-nucleotide transfer RNA is filed under the name Stygobromus pizzinii. RNAcentral's name for it is "tRNA-Phe". It matches the Rfam family "tRNA". Rfam says of the family: Transfer RNA (tRNA) molecules are approximately 80 nucleotides in length. The record is from RNAcentral. Lineage: Eukaryota; Metazoa; Arthropoda; Malacostraca; Amphipoda; Crangonyctidae.
ACUUUAAUAGCUCAAGUAGAGCAUUACUUUGAAGCAGUAAAGGUGUGUAAGCUUAAAGUA